Molecule: ribosomal RNA, 465 nt
Filed under: Vreelandella stevensii
Lineage: Bacteria; Pseudomonadati; Pseudomonadota; Gammaproteobacteria; Oceanospirillales; Halomonadaceae
Description: partial 16S ribosomal RNA
Rfam family: Bacterial small subunit ribosomal RNA
Source: RNAcentral
CCUACGGGUGGCAGCAGUGGGGAAUAUUGGACAAUGGGCGAAAGCCUGAUCCAGCCAUGCCGCGUGUGUGAAGAAGGCCUUCGGGUUGUAAAGCACUUUCAGUGGGGAAGAAAGCCUUGGGGCUAAUACCCUCGAGGAAGGACAUCACCCACAGAAGAAGCACCGGCUAACUCCGUGCCAGCAGCCGCGGUAAUACGGAGGGUGCGAGCGUUAAUCGGAAUUACUGGGCGUAAAGCGCGCGUAGGCGGUCUGAUAAGCCGGUUGUGAAAGCCCCGGGCUCAACCUGGGAACGGCAUCCGGAACUGUCAGGAUGGAGUGCAGAAGAGGAGGGUGGAAUGCCAGGUGUAGCGGUGAAAUGCGUAGAUAUCGGGAGGAAUACCAGUGGCGAAGGCGGCCUUAUGGACUGUAACUGACGCUGAGGCUCGAAAGCGUGGGUAGCAAACAGGAUUAGAGACACGGGUAGUC